RNAcentral lists this ribosomal RNA (430 nucleotides) under uncultured bacterium. Its description in RNAcentral is "partial 16S ribosomal RNA". It matches the Rfam family "Bacterial small subunit ribosomal RNA", at positions 354 to 796 of the family's 1533-position model. The record is from RNAcentral.
GUGGGGAAUAUUGCACAAUGGGCGAAAGCCUGAUGCAGCAACGCCGCGUGAGGGACGACGGCCUUCGGGUUGUAAACCUCUUUUAGUAGGGAAGAAGCGAAAGUGACGGUACCUGCAGAAAAAGCACCGGCUAACUACGUGCCAGCAGCCGCGGUAAUACGUAGGGUGCAAGCGUUAUCCGGAAUUAUUGGGCGUCAAGAGCUCGUAGGCGGUCUGUCGCGUCUGCUGUGAAAACUGGAGGCUCAACCUCCAGCCUGCAGUGGGUACGGGCAGACUAGAGUGCGGUAUGGGAGAUUGGAAUUCCUGGUGUAGCGGUGGAAUGCGCAGAUAUCAGGAGGAACACCGAUGGCGAAGGCAGAUCUCUGGGCCGUAACUGACGCUGAGGAGCGAAAGCGUGGGGAGCGAACAGGAUUAGAAACCCCGGUAGUCC